UAUUGUGUGAAUGGUGGCUUUCAGGCUGAU
This 30-nucleotide non-coding RNA is filed under the name Rattus norvegicus (Norway rat). Lineage: Eukaryota; Metazoa; Chordata; Mammalia; Rodentia; Muridae. The record is from RNAcentral.